RNAcentral lists this ribosomal RNA (406 nucleotides) under uncultured bacterium. RNAcentral's name for it is "partial 16S ribosomal RNA". It matches the Rfam family "Bacterial small subunit ribosomal RNA", at positions 30 to 526 of the family's 1533-position model. The record is from RNAcentral.
AUUGAACGCUGGCGGCAGGCCUAACACAUGCAAGUCGAGCGAGCGGCGGACGGGUGAGUAAUGUCUGGGAAACUGCCUGAUGGAGGGGGAUAACUACUGGAAACGGGAGCUAAUACCGCAUACCAUCAGAUGUGCCCAGAUGGGAUUAUCUAGUAGGUGGGGUAACGGCUCACCUGGGCGACGAUCCCUAGCUGGUCUGAGGGGAUGACCAGCCCCACUGGACCUGAGACACGUUCCAGACUCCUACGGCAGGCAGCAGUGGGGAAUAUUGCACAAUGGGCGCAAGCCUGAUGCAGCCAUUCCGCGUGUGUGAAGAAGGCCUUCGGGUUGUAAAGCACUUUCAGCGGGGAGGCGUUACCCGCAGAAGAAGCACCGGCUAACUCCGUGCCAGCAGCCGCGGUAAUAC